GACGAACGCUGGCGGCGUGCUUAACACAUGCAAGUCGAACGGUAAGGCCCCAGCUUGCUGGGGUACACGAGUGGCGAACGGGUGAGUAACACGUGGGUGACCUGCCCCGCACUUCGGGAUAAGCCUGGGAAACUGGGUCUAAUACCGGAUAGGACCGCACCGUGAGGGUGUGGUGGAAAGUUUUUCGGUGUGGGAUGGGUCCGCGGCCUAUCAGCUUGUUGGUGGGGUAAUGGCCUACCAAGGCGGCGACGGGUAGCCGGCCUGAGAGGGUGGACGGCCACAUUGGGACUGAGACACGGCCCAGACUCCUACGGGAGGCAGCAGUGGGGAAUAUUGCACAAUGGGCGGAAGCCUGAUGCAGCGACGCCGCGUGGGGGAUGACGGCCUUCGGGUUGUAAACUCCUUUCACCAUCGACGAAGGUUUUCUGACGGUAGAUGGAGAAGAAGCACCGGCUAACUACGUG
This 464-nucleotide ribosomal RNA is filed under the name uncultured bacterium. RNAcentral's name for it is "partial 16S ribosomal RNA". It matches the Rfam family "Bacterial small subunit ribosomal RNA", at positions 28 to 507 of the family's 1533-position model. The record is from RNAcentral.